Molecule: ribosomal RNA, 770 nt
Filed under: Citreicella sp.
Lineage: Bacteria; Pseudomonadati; Pseudomonadota; Alphaproteobacteria; Rhodobacterales; Roseobacteraceae
Description: bacterial SSU rRNA
Rfam family: Bacterial small subunit ribosomal RNA
Source: RNAcentral
GCCCUUCUCUGCGGAAUAGCCACUGGAAACGGUGAGUAAUACCGCAUACGCCCUUCGGGGGAAAGAUUUAUCGGAGAAGGAUCGGCCCGCGUUAGAUUAGGUAGUUGGUGGGGUAAUGGCCUACCAAGCCUACGAUCUAUAGCUGGUUUGAGAGGAUGAUCAGCCACACUGGGACUGAGACACGGCCCAGACUCCUACGGGAGGCAGCAGUGGGGAAUCUUAGACAAUGGGCGCAAGCCUGAUCUAGCCAUGCCGCGUGAGUGAUGAAGGCCUUAGGGUCGUAAAGCUCUUUCGCUGGGGAAGAUAAUGACUGUACCCAGUAAAGAAACCCCGGCUAACUCCGUGCCAGCAGCCGCGGUAAUACGGAGGGGGUUAGCGUUGUUCGGAAUUACUGGGCGUAAAGCGCGCGUAGGCGGAUCAGAAAGUUGGGGGUGAAAUCCCGGGGCUCAACCUCGGAACUGCCUCCAAAACUCCUGGUCUUGAGUUCGAGAGAGGUGAGUGGAAUUCCGAGUGUAGAGGUGAAAUUCGUAGAUAUUCGGAGGAACACCAGUGGCGAAGGCGGCUCACUGGCUCGAUACUGACGCUGAGGUGCGAAAGUGUGGGGAGCAAACAGGAUUAGAUACCCUGGUAGUCCACACCGUAAACGAUGAAUGCCAGUCGUCGGCAAGCAUGCUUGUCGGUGACACACCUAACGGAUUAAGCAUUCCGCCUGGGGAGUACGGUCGCAAGAUUAAAACUCAAGGAAUUUGACGGGGGGCCCGCACAACCGG